GACGAACGCUGGCGGCGUGCUUAACACAUGCAAGUCGAGCGAGGCCCAUCCUUCGGGGGUGGUGCCCUAGCGGCGAACGGGUGAGUAACACGUGGGGCAACCUGCCCCUAGCUCUGGGAUAACCCCGGGAAACCCGGGGCGUAAUACUGGAUAUGACUUCGGAAGGCAUCUUCUGGGGUGGAAAGAUUUAUUGGCUAGGGUGGGCCCGCGGCCUAUCAGCUUGUUGGUGGGGUGAUGGCCUACCAAGGCGGCGACGGGUAGCCGGCCUGAGAGGGCGACCGGCCACACUGGGACUGAGACACGGCCCAGACUCCUACGGGAGGCAGCAGUGGGGAAUAUUGCACAAUGGGCGAAAGCCUGAUGCAGCGACGCCGCGUGAGGGAUGACGGCCUCGGUUGUAA
This 401-nucleotide ribosomal RNA is filed under the name uncultured bacterium. Its description in RNAcentral is "bacterial SSU rRNA". It matches the Rfam family "Bacterial small subunit ribosomal RNA", at positions 28 to 428 of the family's 1533-position model. The record is from RNAcentral.